Molecule: transfer RNA, 82 nt
Filed under: Paramuricea clavata
Lineage: Eukaryota; Metazoa; Cnidaria; Anthozoa; Malacalcyonacea; Plexauridae
Rfam family: tRNA
About the family: Transfer RNA (tRNA) molecules are approximately 80 nucleotides in length. Their secondary structure includes four short double-helical elements and three loops (D, anti-codon, and T loops). Further hydrogen bonds mediate the characteristic L-shaped molecular structure. tRNAs have two regions of fundamental functional importance: the anti-codon, which is responsible for specific mRNA codon recognition, and the 3' end, to which the tRNAs corresponding amino acid is attached (by aminoacyl-tRNA synthetases). tRNAs cope with the degeneracy of the genetic code in two manners: having more than one tRNA (with a specific anti-codon) for a particular amino acid; and 'wobble' base-pairing, i.e. permitting non-standard base-pairing at the 3rd anti-codon position.
Source: Rfam by way of RNAcentral
GUAGUCGUGGCCGAGUGGUUAAGGCGACAGCCUCGAAAUCUGUUGGGACAUUCCCGCGCAGGUUCAAAUCCUGCCGACUACG